AUUGGUCCCCUCCAAGUAGCUC
This 22-nucleotide microRNA is filed under the name Caenorhabditis briggsae. Its description in RNAcentral is "cbr-miR-245". Its record names the gene cbr-miR-245. Lineage: Eukaryota; Metazoa; Nematoda; Chromadorea; Rhabditida; Rhabditidae. RNAcentral also lists the same sequence under 3 other names. The record is from miRBase by way of RNAcentral.